Molecule: ribosomal RNA, 255 nt
Filed under: uncultured bacterium
Lineage: Bacteria
Description: partial 16S ribosomal RNA
Rfam family: Bacterial small subunit ribosomal RNA
Source: RNAcentral
UACGAAGGGGGCUAGCGUUGCUCGGAAUUACUGGGCGUAAAGGCGCGUAGCGGUAUGACGGUCUUUAAGGUCGGGGAUCGAAUCGAGGCUCAACUCCAGAACUGCCUUGAUACUGGAGAUCUUGAGUCGGGAGAGGUGAGUGGAACUGCGAGUGUAGAGGUGAAAUUCGUAGAUAUUCGCAAGAACACCAGUGGCGAAGGCGGCUCACUGGCCCGGUACUGACGCUGAGGCACGAAAGCGUGGGGAGCAAACAGG